GCGUUGGCAGCGGAGACAUUCCAGUCGUUACGGGGUUGUUUGCUGGCUUCUGUCACGGGAGCAUGUGCACGCCUCGCAUCCACUUCAACCUCACCUGUGCACUUCAGAGGACCUCUUCGGUCUUCUUUCACACAAACCACAUAAUGUCAUAGUAGAACGUCUUUGUUAUUAAACAAUACAACUUUCAACAACGGAUCUCUUGGCUCUCGCAUCGAUGAAGAACGCAGCGAAAUGCGAUAAGUAAUGUGAAUUGCAGAAUUCAGUGAAUCAUCGAAUCUUUGAACGCACCUUGCGCUCCUUGGUAUUCCGAGGAGCAUGCCUGUUUGAGUGUCGUGUAAUUCUCAAUCCCGAUCGGUUUUGGCCGACUUCGAGGUUGGAUUUGGGAGUCCGCUGUGCCUUGCAUUAGGUUCGGCUCUCCUUGAAUGCAUUAGCUCGGUCACGUAGUUGCCCGACGGUUCACGGUGUGAUAGUUUAUCUUCAUCGCCGUUCUGACCGCUCGGUGCCUGUGUUCACCGGCUUCUAAUACCGUGUCUCAGACACGACUUCUUUAACGCUUGACCUCAAAUCAGGUAGGACUACCCGCUGAACUUAAGCAUACAAAAGGGGGGAAAGAAAAU
RNAcentral lists this ribosomal RNA (617 nucleotides) under Oxyporus populinus. Its description in RNAcentral is "eukaryotic LSU rRNA". The stretch from base 180 to 333 matches the Rfam family "5.8S ribosomal RNA". The record is from RNAcentral. Lineage: Eukaryota; Fungi; Basidiomycota; Agaricomycetes; Hymenochaetales; Schizoporaceae.